This 460-nucleotide ribosomal RNA is filed under the name uncultured bacterium. RNAcentral describes it as "partial 16S ribosomal RNA". It matches the Rfam family "Bacterial small subunit ribosomal RNA", at positions 355 to 833 of the family's 1533-position model. The record is from RNAcentral.
UGGGGAAUAUUGCACAAUGGGCGAAAGCCUGAUGCAGCAACGCCGCGUGAAGGAUGAAGGUCUUCGGAUUGUAAACUUUGUACUUGGGGACGAUAAUGACGGUACCCAAGCAGCAAGCUCCGGCUAACUACGUGCCAGCAGCCGCGGUAAUACGUAGGGAGCAAGCGUUGUCCGGAUUUACUGGGUGUAAAGGGUGCGUAGGCGGCCAUACAAGUCAGUUGUGAAAACUAUGGGCUCAACCCAUAGCCUGCAAUUGAAACUGCGUGGCUUGAGUGAAGUAGAGGUAGGUGGAAUUCCCGGUGUAGCGGUGAAAUGCGUAGAGAUCGGGAGGAACACCAGUGGCGAAGGCGACCUACUGGGCUUUAACUGACGCUGAGGCACGAAAGCAUGGGUAGCAAACAGGAUUAGAUACCCUGGUAGUCCAUGCCGUAAACGAUGAUUACUAGGUGUGGGGGUCUGA